UACAGAGGGGGCAAGCGUUGUUCGGAAUCACUGGGCGUAAAGGGCGCGUAGGCGGCCGCCUAAGUCAGACGUGAAAUCCCUCGGCUCAACCGGGGAACUGCGUCUGAUACUGGGUGGCUUGAAUUCGGGAGAGGGAUGUGGAAUUCCAGGUGUAGCGGUGAAAUGCGUAGAUAUCUGGAGGAACACCGGUGGCGAAGGCGACAUCCUGGACCGGCAUUGACGCUGAGGCGCGAAAGCCAGGGGAGCAAACGGG
This 253-nucleotide ribosomal RNA is filed under the name uncultured bacterium. RNAcentral describes it as "partial 16S ribosomal RNA". It matches the Rfam family "Bacterial small subunit ribosomal RNA", at positions 524 to 776 of the family's 1533-position model. The record is from RNAcentral.